Molecule: ribosomal RNA, 407 nt
Filed under: uncultured bacterium
Lineage: Bacteria
Description: partial 16S ribosomal RNA
Rfam family: Bacterial small subunit ribosomal RNA
Source: RNAcentral
AUUGAACGCUGGCGGCAGGCCUAACACAUGCAAGUCGAGCGGAGCGGCGGACGGGCGAGUAAUGCCUAGGAAUCUGCCUGGUAGUGGGGGAUAACGUCCGGAAACGGGCGCUACUACCGCAUACUCUCAGAUGAGCCUAGGUUGGAUUAGCUAGUUGGUUGGGUAAAGGCCUACCAAGGCGACGAUCCGUAACUGGUCUGUGAGGAGGAUCAGUCACACUGGAACUGAAACACGGUCCAGACUCCUACGGGAGGCAGCAGUGGGGAAUAUUGGACAAUGGGCGAAAGCCUGAUCCAGCCAGGCCGCGUGUGUGAAGAAGGUCUUCGGAUUGUAAAGCACUUUAAGUUGGGAGGCGUUACCAACAGAAUAAGCACCGGCUAACUUCGUGCCAGCAGCCGCGGUAAUUC